Molecule: ribosomal RNA, 657 nt
Filed under: Stenotrophomonas rhizophila
Lineage: Bacteria; Pseudomonadati; Pseudomonadota; Gammaproteobacteria; Lysobacterales; Lysobacteraceae
Description: bacterial SSU rRNA
Rfam family: Bacterial small subunit ribosomal RNA
Source: RNAcentral
GUGAACGCUGGCGGUAGGCCUAACACAUGCAAGUCGAACGGCAGCACAGUAAGAGCUUGCUCUUAUGGGUGGCGAGUGGCGGACGGGUGAGGAAUACAUCGGAAUCUACCUUUUCGUGGGGGAUAACGUAGGGAAACUUACGCUAAUACCGCAUACGACCUUCGGGUGAAAGCAGGGGACUUCGGGCCUUGCGCGGAUAGAUGAGCCGAUGUCGGAUUAGCUAGUUGGCGGGGUAAAGGCCCACCAAGGCGACGAUCCGUAGCUGGUCUGAGAGGAUGAUCAGCCACACUGGAACUGAGACACGGUCCAGACUCCUACGGGAGGCAGCAGUGGGGAAAAUUGGACAAUGGGCGCAAGCCUGAUCCAGCCAUACCGCGUGGGUGAAGAAGGCCUUCGGGUUGUAAAGCCCUUUUGUUGGGAAAGAAAAGCAGUCGAUUAAUACUCGGUUGUUCUGACGGUACCCAAAGAAUAAGCACCGGCUAACUUCGUGCCAGCAGCCGCGGUAAAACGAAGGGUGCAAGCGUUACUCGGAAUUACUGGGCGUAAAGCGUGCGUAGGUGGUUGUUUAAGUCUGUUGUGAAAGCCCUGGGCUGAACCUGGGAAUUGCAGUGGAUACUGGGCGACUAGAGUGUGGUAGAGGGUAGUGGAAUUCCCGGU